GACGAACGCUGGCGGCGUGCUUAACACAUGCAAGUCGAACGAUGAAGCCGGAGCUUGCUCUGGUGAAUUAGUGGCGAACGGGUGAGUAACACGUGAGUAACCUGCCCUUGACUCUGGGAUAACUGCUAGAAAUGGUAGCUAAUACCGGAUACGACCCUCGGCGGCAUCGCCAGGGGGUGGAAAGAAUUUCGGUCAAGGAUGGACUCGCGGCCUAUCAGCUAGUUGGUGAGGUAACGGCUCACCAAGGCGACGACGGGUAGCCGGCCUGAGAGGGUGAACGGCCACACUGGGACUGAGACACGGACCAGACUCCUACGUGAGGCAGCAGUGGGGAAUAUUGAACAGUGGGCGCAAGCCUGAUGCAGUAACGCCGCGUGAGGGAUGACGGCCUUCGGGUUGUAAACCUCUUUUAGUAGGGAAGAAGCGAAAGUGACGGUACCUGCAGAAAAAGCACCGGCUAACUACGUGCCAGCCGCCGCGGUAA
This 484-nucleotide ribosomal RNA is filed under the name uncultured bacterium. RNAcentral's name for it is "partial 16S ribosomal RNA". It matches the Rfam family "Bacterial small subunit ribosomal RNA", at positions 28 to 523 of the family's 1533-position model. The record is from RNAcentral.